RNAcentral lists this ribosomal RNA (250 nucleotides) under uncultured bacterium. RNAcentral's name for it is "partial 16S ribosomal RNA". It matches the Rfam family "Bacterial small subunit ribosomal RNA", at positions 524 to 773 of the family's 1533-position model. The record is from RNAcentral.
UACGAAGGGGGCUAGCGUUGUUCGGAAUUACUGGGCGUAAAGCGCACGUAGGCGGUCCCGCCAGUCAGAAGUGAAAGCCCUGGGCUCAACCCGGGAACUGCUUUUGAAACUGUGGGGCUUGAAUCCUGGAGAGGGUAGUGGAAUUCCCAGUGUAGAGGUGAAAUUCGUAGAUAUUGGGAAGAACACCAGUGGCGAAGGCGACUACCUGGCCAGGCAUUGACGCUGAGGUGCGAAAGCGUGGGGAGCAAAC